Molecule: unclassified non-coding RNA, 1641 nt
Organism: Acanthaster planci (crown-of-thorns starfish)
Lineage: Eukaryota; Metazoa; Echinodermata; Asteroidea; Valvatida; Acanthasteridae
Source: RefSeq, a predicted model, not a curated record
CUCAGUGAGCAGGCACUAUAAAACACUAUUCAGGUCCCCAUGCCUGGCAUUUACCCAUGCGGGUGUGAACCAUACAGGACCACACCUUACUUUGCAUAACAGGGCAUAUAAGGAAAUUUUGCCAACUUGGCAGCAUACAGUUUGUGUCUUUAAAUUAAUCAAACAGUUGACGUAAACUAUCACUGACUUGUGACAGGGCCUAAUAAUAGUUGGGACUGAUGCUAUAGUUGGGGCGCAACACAUACAUGCUCUCUAGACCUCUGUGUUGUAGUUUGGCCUGCCCGACUUUAGCAAUCUAUAUAAACCACUCAUGGGUCAGCUUUUCUGGAUUUUCUGAGUCCUAUAAUGGUACCUUCAAAUUGACAAGACACACAGGUCUCUCUGCGAAGAAUGUGUCUUCUGCAUUCUUCAAUGGCGAGUUGGAGAACAAAAUGCGAGAACAUGGCCAUCUGGACAUGUUCAACAUGGUGAAAGUUGACAGUGACAAAGAUAAAGUUCUCGCUGAAAUUGAAAAGCUGAGGAGAAAGGAGCCUUAUGAGCAUCGCAACUGUCAUGCAAAUUGCAAGGCCAAAGGAUGAUGUCUGCAAUCAAUGUGACCUUCCAGUACCGCAAGGCAGAAAAAAAAAACAAAGUGCCCUGCCUCCAAAUUGGGACAGUUUGCUUCUACACAUCAAACGAAAAAAUUACCAGACAGCUGUAUACCAGACAGCUGUAUGACUCCGUCAGACCAAAGUCUGCAAACUCUGCUAUUGAUGUAGAAAUUACCAUACAACAUGAAAUCUGCUGAAAUGAGCUUUUGAUAACCCUGGAUGAACCACAGGAUUCCUUUAGGUUUGAGCCUAUGGUAUAAAAUGCGGUACAGUUUUGCACUGUAAAUCAGAACUACUGGAAGUAUGUAACUCAUCGAAGUAUGUCCAAUCUUUUGAUUAAAAAUAUCUCAAGCAUUUUACAUUGCAGUUAGGAGUUUGUUGAAAAUUAACCAUUUAAUGAUUAAUUUCACACCAUGUAAACACACAAUAGCAGAAUGGCUUGAUUUAGCUGAUAAAAAUUAAAAAACUUUAAUCAGUUAAAUAAAGCCUGGAAUGAUUUAACUGAUAAAAAUUGAACAAUUUCUGGUAUUUUGUGUUUACUUGGUGUUAAAUCAUCCAGUAGGAUUAUUAGUCAACAUUUGCAGGCAUGUACAUGUACAUGUAUGAAAAGACCUAACUAGUUGGUCAGAAACAAAUGAUUAAUGUUUCUGAUUUUUAAAUAAACAUACUGUACUUGCGGUACACUUUGUUUGGUAAAUGAUGUUUUAAUGCUGUACCAGUACACAAUUUUGUAGGAUCUGUUUGUCAUUCAAUCAUGUUACUUGUAAUUACCUGUAUAAAUUUGUAGAAUUAUCUCACGGCAAUGGAUGGUUGUUUGUACAGUGCAUAACGCUAUAAUUUUAUAGUCCAUAAUUGGAAAUUCUUUUCACAUGUGAGGUGAACUGAAUCCUGUACAAUUGACUCUACAGCAAGUGUUAAUGUAGCAGGGAACAUCCAGUCAUAAUCUGUUCUAUAAUAACUAGAAUUAUUAAACAAAGGGGUAAAUGUAACCUUCAUAAUAUUUACCUUGGCUAGUUCUUUUCAUCGCAUGGACUUUCAAGAGUGGGUAAUU